CAGCAUGUGUGGAGAGAAAGCAGAGCUAACUUUUCGAGUGCAGUGAACCUUCUUCAGGACUGGAAUGGGCCCAAUCUUAUUAUUCUUUGACAAAUGUUUCUUUGCAUUGGGUUUGUCGGAGGGUUUCCCACCUUGAGGCCCAGUGAGAUCACUUGCUGCAUCUUACCAAGCUCACCUCAUUAAUAACCUCUCAGAUGGAAAAUACUGCACUCUCUCCUCAUCUGGUACUUUUCUUUUCCAAAGCGAGAGGCUAGACAAUGCAACAGACAGCAUCCAAGAGAUAAAAGGAAAUCCAGCCCUUGGUCCAGAGCCCUCUAGACACCUCAAGUACAAAUUAAAAGAAAAAAGACAACCCAGGGAGAUCUUUAGCUGGAAGAAGGAAGACACCAAAGACGGCAACCACUGUAUGGUUUUGAAAUUAAAUUGAUGUAAUUUUAGUAAGUGUUUUGUGGAACAGUAUAUUGUUAUAAAGUUGGA
This is a long non-coding RNA of Chiloscyllium plagiosum (whitespotted bambooshark), 477 nucleotides long. RefSeq lists it as uncharacterized. The record is from RefSeq and is a predicted model, not a curated record. NCBI's taxonomy places the organism in Eukaryota, Metazoa, Chordata, Chondrichthyes, Orectolobiformes, Hemiscylliidae.